This 1234-nucleotide ribosomal RNA is filed under the name Klebsiella pneumoniae. RNAcentral's name for it is "partial 23S ribosomal RNA". It matches the Rfam family "Bacterial large subunit ribosomal RNA", at positions 398 to 1637 of the family's 2925-position model. Lineage: Bacteria; Pseudomonadati; Pseudomonadota; Gammaproteobacteria; Enterobacterales; Enterobacteriaceae. The record is from RNAcentral.
UGUGAACUCGAAGAGUAGGGCGGGACACGUGGUAUCCUGUCUGAAUAUGGGGGGACCAUCCUCCAAGGCUAAAUACUCCUGACUGACCGAUAGUGAACCAGUACCGUGAGGGAAAGGCGAAAAGAACCCCGGCGAGGGGAGUGAAAAAGAACCUGAAACCGUGUACGUACAAGCAGUGGGAGCACCUUCGGGUGUGACUGCGUACCUUUUGUAUAAUGGGUCAGCGACUUAUAUUCUGUAGCAAGGUUAACCGUAUAGGGGAGCCGCAGGGAAACCGAGUCUUAACUGGGCGUUAAGUUGCAGGGUAUAGACCCGAAACCCGGUGAUCUAGCCAUGGGCAGGUUGAAGGUUGGGUAACACUAACUGGAGGACCGAACCGACUAAUGUUGAAAAAUUAGCGGAUGACUUGUGGCUGGGGGUGAAAGGCCAAUCAAACCGGGAGAUAGCUGGUUCUCCCCGAAAGCUAUUUAGGUAGCGCCUCGUGAAUUCAUCUUCGGGGGUAGAGCACUGUUUCGGCUAGGGGGUCAUCCCGACUUACCAACCCGAUGCAAACUACGAAUACCGAAGAAUGUUAUCACGGGAGACACACGGCGGGUGCUAACGUCCGUCGUGAAGAGGGAAACAACCCAGACCGCCAGCUAAGGUCCCAAAGUCAUGGUUAAGUGGGAAACGAUGUGGGAAGGCACAGACAGCCAGGAUGUUGGCUUAGAAGCAGCCAUCAUUUAAAGAAAGCGUAAUAGCUCACUGGUCGAGUCGGCCUGCGCGGAAGAUGUAACGGGGCUAAACCAUGCACCGAAGCUGCGGCAGCGACACUAUGUGUUGUUGGGUAGGGGAGCGUUCUGUAAGCCUGCGAAGGUGACCUGUGAGGGUUGCUGGAGGUAUCAGAAGUGCGAAUGCUGACAUAAGUAACGAUAAAGCGGGUGAAAAGCCCGCUCGCCGGAAGACCAAGGGUUCCUGUCCAACGUUAAUCGGGGCAGGGUGAGUCGACCCCUAAGGCGAGGCCGAAAGGCGUAGUCGAUGGGAAACAGGUUAAUAUUCCUGUACUUGGUGUUACUGCGAAGGGGGGACGGAGAAGGCUAUGUUAGCCGGGCGACGGUUGUCCCGGUUUAAGCAUGUAGGCUGGUUAUCCAGGCAAAUCCGGAUAAUCAAGGCUGAGGUGUGAUGACGAGGCACUACGGUGCUGAAGUAACAAAUGCCCUGCUUCCAGGAAAAGCCUCUAAGCAUCAGGUAACAU